RNAcentral lists this signal recognition particle RNA (299 nucleotides) under Nomascus leucogenys (northern white-cheeked gibbon). RNAcentral describes it as "Metazoan signal recognition particle RNA (ENSNLEG00000027107.1)". It matches the Rfam family "Metazoan signal recognition particle RNA". From Rfam's summary of the family: The signal recognition particle (SRP) is a universally conserved ribonucleoprotein. It is involved in the co-translational targeting of proteins to membranes. The eukaryotic SRP consists of a 300-nucleotide 7S RNA and six proteins: SRPs 72, 68, 54, 19, 14, and 9. The record is from RNAcentral. Lineage: Eukaryota; Metazoa; Chordata; Mammalia; Primates; Hylobatidae.
GCCGGGCGCGGUGGCGCGUGCCUGUAGUCCCAGCUACUCGGGAGGCUGAGGUGGGAGGAUCGCUUGAGCCCAGGAGUUCUGGGCUGUAGUGCGCUAUGCCGAUCGGGUGUCCGCACUAAGUUCGGCAUCAAUAUGGUGACCUCCCGGGAGCGGGGGACCACCAGGUUGCCUAAGGAGGGGUGAACCGGCCCAGGUCGGAAACGGAGCAGGUCAAAACUCCCGUGCUGAUCAGUAGUGGGAUCGCGCCUGUGAAUAGCCACUGCACUCCAGCCUGAGCAACAUAGCGAGACCCUGUCUCU